GGCGGCAGGCCUAACACAUGCAAGUCGAGCGCGCCCUUCGGGGUGAGCGGCGGACGGGUUAGUAACGCGUGGGAAUAUGCCCGACACUAAGGAAUAGCCUCUGGAAACGGAGAGUAAUACCUUAUACGCCCUUCGGGGGAAAGAUUUAUCGGUGACGGAUUAGCCCGCGUUAGAUUAGAUAGUUGGUGGGGUAAUGGCCUACCAAGUCUACGAUCUAUAGCUGGUUUUAGAGGAUGAUCAGCAACACUGGGACUGAGACACGGCCCAGACUCCUACGGGAGGCAGCAGUGGGGAAUCUUGGACAAUGGGCGCAAGCCUGAUCCAGCCAUGCCGCGUGAGUGAUGAAGGCCUUAGGGUCGUAAAGCUCUUUCGCCAGAGAUGAUAAUGACAGUAUCUGGUAAAGAAACCCCGGCUAACUCCGUGCCAGCAGCCGCGGUAAUACGGAGGGGGUUAGCGUUGUUCGGAAUUACUGGGCGUAAAGCGCGCGUAGGCGGAUUAGUCAGUUAGAGGUGAAAUCCCGGGGCUCAACCCCGGAACUGCCUUUAAUACUGCUAGUCUUGAGUUCGAGAGAGGUGAGUGGAAUUCCGAGUGUAGAGGUGAAAUUCGUAGAUAUUCGGAGGAACACCAGUGGCGAAGGCGGCUCACUGGCUCGAUACUGACGCUGAGGUGCGAAAGUGUGGGGAGCAAACAGGAUUAGAUACCCUGGUAGUCCACACCGUAAACGAUGAAUGCCAGUCGUCGGGUAGCAUGCUAUUCGGUGACACACCUAACGGAUUAAGCAUUCCGCCUGGGGAGUACGGUCGCAAGAUUAAAACUCAAAUGAAUUGACGGGGGCCCGCACAAGCGGUGGAGCAUGUGGUUUAAUUCGAUGCAACGCGAAGAACCUUACCUACUCUUGACAUCCAGAGAACUUUCCAGAGAUGGAUUGGUGCCUUCGGGAACUCUGAGACAGGUGCUGCAUGGCUGUCGUCAGCUCGUGUUGUGAAAUGUUGGGUUAAGUCCCGCAACGAGCGCAACCCUUAUCCUUGUUUGCCAGCGAGUAAUGUCGGGAACUCCAGGGAGACUGCCGGUGAUAAACCGGAGGAAGGUGGGGACGACGUCAAGUCAUCAUGGCCCUUACGAGUAGGGCUACACACGUGCUACAAUGGCGCAUACAGAGGGCAGCCAACUUGCGAGAGUGAGCGAAUCCCAAAAAGUGCGUCGUAGUCCGGAUUGGAGUCUGCAACUCGACUCCAUGAAGUCGGAAUCGCUAGUAAUCGUGGAUCAGAAUGCCACGGUGAAUACGUUCCCGGGCCUUGUACACACCGCCCGUCACACCAUGGGAGUGGGCUGCAAAAGAAGUAGGUAGUUUAACCUUCGGGAGGACGCUUACCACUUUGUGGUUCAUGACUGGGGUGAAGUCGUAACAAGG
This 1411-nucleotide ribosomal RNA is filed under the name uncultured bacterium. RNAcentral's name for it is "partial 16S ribosomal RNA". It matches the Rfam family "Bacterial small subunit ribosomal RNA". The record is from RNAcentral.